RNAcentral lists this ribosomal RNA (443 nucleotides) under uncultured bacterium. RNAcentral's name for it is "partial 16S ribosomal RNA". It matches the Rfam family "Bacterial small subunit ribosomal RNA", at positions 338 to 795 of the family's 1533-position model. The record is from RNAcentral.
CCUACGGGAGGCUGCAGUGGGGAAUAUUGGGCAAUGGGCGCAAGCCUGAACCAGCAAAGCCGCGUGAAGGAAGAAGGCUUUCGGGUUGUAAACUUCUUUUAUCAGGGACGAAGCCCGUGACGGUACCUGCUGAAUAAGCCACGGCUAACUACGUGCCAGCAGCCGCGGUAAUACGUAGGUGGCCAGCGUUAUCCGGAUUUACUGGGUGUAAAGGGCGUGUAGGCGGGAGUGCAAGUCAGAUGUGAAAACUAUGGGCUCAACCCAUAGCCUGCAUUUGAAACUGUACGUCUUGAGUGCUGGAGAGGCAAUCGGAAUGCGGGGUGUAGCGGUGAAAUGCGUAGAUAUACGGAGGAACACCGGUUGCGAAGGCAGAAUGCUGGACAGUAACUGACGCUGAGGCGCGAAAGCGUGGGGAGCAAACAGGAUUAGAUACCCUUGUAGUC